Molecule: ribosomal RNA, 229 nt
Filed under: uncultured bacterium
Lineage: Bacteria
Description: partial 16S ribosomal RNA
Rfam family: Bacterial small subunit ribosomal RNA
Source: RNAcentral
UGCGUAGGCGGGCUAAUAAGUCAGUGGUGAAAUCUCUCGGCUCAACCGGGAAACUGCCAUUGAUACUGUUAGUCUUGGGUUCGGUUGAGGUAGGCGGAAUGUGUAAUGUAGCGGUGAAAUGCUUAGAUAUUACACAGAACACCAAUUGCGUAGGCAGCUUACUAGACCGACACUGACGCUGAGGCACGAAAGCGUGGGGAGCGAACAGGAUUAGAUACCCUGGUAGUCC